UACGUAGGGUGCGAGCGUUGUCCGGAAUUACUGGGCGUAAAGAGCUCGUAGGUGGUUUGUCGCGUUGUUCGUGAAAACUCACAGCUCAACUGUGGGCGUGCGGGCGAUACGGGCAGACUGGAGUACUGCAGGGGAGACUGGAAUUCCUGGUGUAGCGGUGAAAUGCGCAGAUAUCAGGAGGAACACCGGUGGCGAAGGCGGGUCUCUGGGCCUUACCUGACGCUGAGGAGCGAAAGCGUGGGUAGCGAACAGG
This 253-nucleotide ribosomal RNA is filed under the name uncultured bacterium. RNAcentral describes it as "partial 16S ribosomal RNA". It matches the Rfam family "Bacterial small subunit ribosomal RNA", at positions 524 to 776 of the family's 1533-position model. The record is from RNAcentral.